GAUUGAACGCUGGCGGCAUGCUUUACACAUGCAAGUCGAACGGUAACAGGCCUUCGGGUGCUGACGAGUGGCGAACGGGUGAGUAAUGCAUCGGAACGUGCCCAGAGGUGGGGGAUAACGCAGCGAAAGCUGUGCUAAUACCGCAUGUGAUCUGAGGAUGAAAGCGGGGGACCAGGCAGCAAUGUUUGGCCUCGCGCCUUUGGAGCGGCCGAUGUCAGAUUAGGUAGUUGGUGGGGUAAAGGCCUACCAAGCCGACGAUCUGUAGCUGGUCUGAGAGGACGACCAGCCACACUGGGACUGAGACACGGCCCAGACUCCUACGGGAGGCAGCAGUGGGGAAUUUUGGACAAUGGGCGCAAGCCUGAUCCAGCAAUGCCGCGUGCGGGAAGAAGGCCUUCGGGUUGUAAACCGCUUUUGUACGGAACGAAAAGGCUCUGGCUAAUACCUGGGGCUGAUGACGGUACCGUAAGAAUAAGCACCGGCUAACUACGUG
This 493-nucleotide ribosomal RNA is filed under the name uncultured bacterium. Its description in RNAcentral is "partial 16S ribosomal RNA". It matches the Rfam family "Bacterial small subunit ribosomal RNA", at positions 27 to 507 of the family's 1533-position model. The record is from RNAcentral.